GAUGAACGCUGGCGGCGUGCCUAAUACAUGCAAGUCGAGCGAACGGACGAGAAGCUUGCUUCUCUGAUGUUAGCGGCGGACGGGUGAGUAACACGUGGAUAACCUACCUAUAAGACUGGGAUAACUUCGGGAAACCGGAGCUAAUACCGGAUAAUAUUUUGAACCGCAUGGUUCAAAAGUGAAAGACGGUCUUGCUGACACUUAUAGAUGGAUCCGCGCUGCAUUAGCUAGUUGGUAAGGUAACGGCUUACCAAGGCAACGAUGCAUAGCCGACCUGAGAGGGGGAUCGGCCACACUGGAACUGAGACACGGUCCAGACUCCUACGGGAGGCAGCAGUAGGGAAUCUUCCGCAAUGGGCGAAAGCCUGACGGAGCAACGGCGCGUGAGUGAUGAAGGUCUUCGGAUCGUAAAACUCUGUUAUUAGGGAAGAACAUAUGUGUAAGUAACUGUGCACAUCUUGACGGUACCUAAUCAGAAAGCCACGGCUAACUACGUG
This 497-nucleotide ribosomal RNA is filed under the name uncultured bacterium. Its description in RNAcentral is "partial 16S ribosomal RNA". It matches the Rfam family "Bacterial small subunit ribosomal RNA", at positions 28 to 507 of the family's 1533-position model. The record is from RNAcentral.